RNAcentral lists this ribosomal RNA (292 nucleotides) under uncultured bacterium. Its description in RNAcentral is "partial 16S ribosomal RNA". The record is from RNAcentral.
GGACUACCCGGGUAUCUAAUCCUGUUUGCUCCCCACGCUUUCGCACCUCAGCGUCAGUACCGAGCCAGUGAGCCGCCUUCGCCACUGGUGUUCUUGCGAAUAUCUACGAAUUUCACCUCUACACUCGCAGUUCCACUCACCUCUCUCGGACUCGAGACAUCCAGUAUCGAAGGCAGUUCUGGAGUUGAGCUCCAGGAUUUCACCACCGACUUAGAUGCCCGCCUACGUGCGCUUUACGCCCAGUGAUUCCGAGCAACGCUAGCCCCCUUCGUAUUACCGCGGCGGCUGGCAC